RNAcentral lists this ribosomal RNA (306 nucleotides) under Actinomycetota bacterium. Its description in RNAcentral is "partial 23S ribosomal RNA". It matches the Rfam family "Bacterial large subunit ribosomal RNA", at positions 2619 to 2925 of the family's 2925-position model. Lineage: Bacteria; Bacillati; Actinomycetota. The record is from RNAcentral.
UCGUGAGACAGUUCGGUCCCUAUCCGCCGCGCGCGCAGGAGACUUGAGAGAGGCUGUCCCUAGUACGAGAGGACCGGGAUGGACGAACCUCUGGUGUGCCAGUUGUUCCGCCAGGAGCACGGCUGGUUGGCUACGUUCGGAAGUGAUAACCGCUGAAGGCAUCUAAGCGGGAAGCAUGUCUCAAGAUGAGGUCUCCCACAGGGUAACCUGGUAAGGCCCCCAGUAGAUGACUGGGUUGAUAGGCCGGAGGUAGAAGGCAGUAAUGCUCGGAGCCGACCGGUACUAAUAGGCCGAGGGCUUGUCUUA